This 73-nucleotide transfer RNA is filed under the name Ailuropoda melanoleuca (giant panda). It matches the Rfam family "tRNA". Rfam says of the family: Transfer RNA (tRNA) molecules are approximately 80 nucleotides in length. Their secondary structure includes four short double-helical elements and three loops (D, anti-codon, and T loops). The record is from Rfam by way of RNAcentral. Lineage: Eukaryota; Metazoa; Chordata; Mammalia; Carnivora; Ursidae.
AUCUGGCCAGCUCAGUCGGUAGAGCAUGAGGUUCUUGAUCCCAGGGUCAUGAGUUUGAGCCUCAUGUUGGAUG